RNAcentral lists this unclassified non-coding RNA (380 nucleotides) under uncultured fungus. Its description in RNAcentral is "sequence contains ITS1". The stretch from base 1 to 105 matches the Rfam family "5.8S ribosomal RNA", at positions 50 to 154 of the family's 154-position model. Lineage: Eukaryota; Fungi. The record is from RNAcentral.
AAAGUGCGAUAAGCAAUGCGAAUUGCAGAAUUCCGCGAAUCAUCAGAUUCUUGAACGCAAAUGGCGCUGGAGGGAUCUCCUUCCAGCAUGUCUGUUUCAGUGUCUGAAAACUUCCAACAACGGUACUAUUUUUGAAAUAUAAAAUAUACCUAACUUGAUGUGUUUGACUUGAUGCAGCUCUUUUGAGCAGCAAUUCAUUGUCUCACACUAAUUCAUGUAUGCACGGAUCUUUGGAUCCAUCGAAUUGGUCAUCGAUUUAUUCGGUGAUUUCGAUGCGAUAUAACAAUCCAAUUAUCCAUAUAUGUGCAUAGAAAUCACAAUAAUCAAACACUUAAUCUUUUUUGUAUCUGAAAUCAGGCAAGAACACCCGCUGAACUUAA